Long non-coding RNA from Engraulis encrasicolus (European anchovy), 319 nucleotides. RefSeq lists it as uncharacterized. The record is from RefSeq and is a predicted model, not a curated record. The transcript is spliced from 3 exons. Lineage: Eukaryota; Metazoa; Chordata; Actinopteri; Clupeiformes; Engraulidae.
GGGAUGUCCGACCUUUCUUCUUCCAAGUUAACAGAAACCAGCUUGCCUGAUGGGUGCGAUCUUCCUGUGUCACGCCAUGCCAAGAUCGAGUGGGUAGUGUCGCGGCAGGUGGUGUCUGUGCACAGACUCGCUAAUUGACAACCUCCACAGGUCCUCGCUACCAUGUGUGGGCUUGGCAUGGGCAUAUGCAUCCUCUCCGUGAUGGAUGAGCGGAGGAACAGACGCAACGGCUUCUGUCACCAUAGCACACCUCAUGGGAAUGUUCUACACAGGAGCUGAAAUGAACCCUGCCAGAUCCUUCAUCCCUGUUGUGUUCAAG